Pogoniulus pusillus (Red-fronted tinkerbird) is the source of this 1408-nucleotide long non-coding RNA. RefSeq lists it as uncharacterized. The transcript has 3 exons. The record is from RefSeq and is a predicted model, not a curated record. Lineage: Eukaryota; Metazoa; Chordata; Aves; Piciformes; Lybiidae.
UCGCUGGGAAGGACGCCACUCGCUGAUCCUGACACCACAGCUGUCUACGGGGACCCAAUUCCAGCGACCCACGCUGCACCGUGGCAGGAGCUGCCCGCGGUCGGGGUGCCGGGCAGGGGUUUUGCCUCUCGGAGCAGCUGGUGCGGAUGUCGCAGCCAAUUACGUCGGGGAAGGAGCAGUGGGACAGCCUUCCGAGGACAGCAGUGAUGACAUGGACACCUGUACUGUGUGACUCUCUUGGGGCUGAUGUGUGCUCACUUUGGAGUCCUGCCAGUCUCAGUGGCUGAGUGGCUUUCAGGAGAGAUCACACCAAGGAGGAGUGUCCCUCCAACCACUCUUACAGGGGAAGAAGAUGGGUGCACUUGGUGCAGAAAACCAGGAAAGGUGACCGAAGUUUUGUGGUGCUCUCACGGAGAAGCAGCAGCUCCCGGUCCUCAGUUUCCCCCAUCUGUUAUCAGGUACCUGCGUCUGCCAGGGUGCUUCCAGCGUGUCAUGUCAUUACACAACUCCCAAGCACAGCUCAUCGCUUUACUCGCUGUCAUCUGGCGAUAGCAUUUGGCUGAGAAGUCCCUUUUGCACAGAUCAAGGACAAAGUUUGACAAAAACCCAAAGAGACAAACGGCAGUGAAAAGCGAAGCCUGACGACCAGGGCCGGGCGACUCUGCCACCCAUCAAUUAAAACCACAAUAUCCUGGGGCUUGGGAAUUAACCCUCCCGCAGCCGGUGAGGACCACAGGGCGACUUGCCAUGGGCUAAGCACCACGUUGCAAUGGGAACUCUCUUGCACAUGUCCUUCUGGUUCAUGCCCUCCCCCAGAGUGGAAGUGCCACUACCUAUGCCCCCAGACCACUGCAGGGCUGUGCAAUGCCUGUCCAGUAGAGCCUGCCUCCUGUAGCUCCUCUCUCCACACCUCCCCGGGCAAGCAUGCCAGCCAAAAGCAUUUGCCUCCAACUGUUUUAUUUUCUUGCUUCUCAAAAAUUAAGACCUUAUUUUCAGCAUCGGGGCAGGACUUUUUCUCUGGUUCUGAAAUUCCACAGGGAAUUUUGAGAAAAAUGGAAACAUUUGCAAUGUGCCCUGGGACAGAGAAUUGGGUUGUAAGCAGCUUUCAUCUGGCACAGCCUUCACUUCCUGCCCUGUGGGAUAGAAGUCACAUCAGAAGUGACAAAGACUCAUAAAUUCUGCAGCACAAUUUAGUCCUUUCUGGAAAAAAAUCUGGUUGUUCCCUGAAGCAGGGCUGAGCGCUGGGUGUGAUGUGGGGUAAAGAAAGUUUCUGCAAAUGUCUGUCUCUUAAUUAAUAUUAAUACCUCUCCAGUUUUUUAUCUCUGCUUUAAAUAAAAGGAAUCCAGCCAUGGCAGCGUUCCCACCACAUUAAGAAACUCAUGAAAGUGAAGUGAUGGAUGCUUUGGAA